RNAcentral lists this ribosomal RNA (392 nucleotides) under uncultured bacterium. RNAcentral's name for it is "bacterial SSU rRNA". It matches the Rfam family "Bacterial small subunit ribosomal RNA", at positions 30 to 416 of the family's 1533-position model. The record is from RNAcentral.
AGUGAACGCUGGCGGCAGGCCUAACACAUGCAAGUCGAACGGCAGCACGGCAGUAGCAAUACUGUGGGUGGCGAGUGGCGGACGGGUGAGGAAUACAUCGGGAUCUACCCUGUUGUGGGGGAUAACGUAGGGAAACUUACGCUAAUACCGCAUAAGAACUGAGGUUGAAAGCGGCGGACCGCAAGGCGUCGCGCGAUUGGAUGAACCGAUGUCCGAUUAGCUAGUUGGCGGGGUAAAGGCCCACCAAGGCGACGAUCGGUAGCUGGUCUGAGAGGACGACCAGCCACACUGGAACUGAGACACGGUCCAGACUCCUACGGGAGGCGGCAGUGGGGAAUAUUGGACAAUGGGCGCAAGCCUGAUCCAGCCAUGCCGCGUGGGUGAAGAAGGCC